This 437-nucleotide ribosomal RNA is filed under the name Wolbachia pipientis. Its description in RNAcentral is "bacterial SSU rRNA". It matches the Rfam family "Bacterial small subunit ribosomal RNA", at positions 992 to 1428 of the family's 1533-position model. Lineage: Bacteria; Pseudomonadati; Pseudomonadota; Alphaproteobacteria; Rickettsiales; Anaplasmataceae. RNAcentral also lists the same sequence under 5 other names. The record is from RNAcentral.
CAUACCUAUUCGAAGGGAUAGGGUCGGUUUGGCCGGAUUUCACACGGGUGUUGCAUGGCUGUCGUCAGCUCGUGUCGUGAGAUGUUGGGUUAAGUCCCGCAACGAGCGCAACCCUCAUCCUUAGUUACCAUCAGGUUAUGCUGGGGACUUUAAGGAAACUGCCAGUGAUAAACUGGAGGAAGGUGGGGAUGAUGUCAAGUCAUCAUGGCCCUUAUGGAGUGGGCUACACACGUGCUACAAUGGUGAUUACAAUGGGCUGCAAGGUCGCAAGGCUGAGCUAAUCCUAAAAAAUCAUCUCAGUUCGGAUUGUUCUCUGCAACUCGAGAGCAUGAAGUUGGAAUCGCUAGUAAUCGUGGAUCAGCAUGCCACGGUGAAUACGUUCUCGGGUCUUGUACACACUGCCCGUCACGCCAUGGGAAUUGGUUUCACUCGAAGCU